Molecule: small nucleolar RNA, 49 nt
Filed under: Pyrobaculum calidifontis JCM 11548
Lineage: Archaea; Thermoproteati; Thermoproteota; Thermoprotei; Thermoproteales; Thermoproteaceae
Description: PCAsR58
Source: RNAcentral
UUGAUGACACCAGGACUUGCGGAGGCGUGAAGAAACUUCUCGCGGCUGA